This 872-nucleotide long non-coding RNA is filed under the name Marmota monax (woodchuck). The record is from RNAcentral. Lineage: Eukaryota; Metazoa; Chordata; Mammalia; Rodentia; Sciuridae.
GCAGGUCUCACACUGGAGAGAAGCCCUACAAAUGUAAAGAAUGUGGCAAAGCUUUCAUUCAAAAAUCAGACCUUAUUUGCCACAGCAGAACUCACACUGGAGAGAAGCCCUACAAAUGCAAAAAUUGUAGUAAAGCUUUCAGUCGAAAAUCACACCUUAUUUGCCACAGGAGAACUCACACUGGAGAGAAGCCCUACAAAUGUAAAGAAUGUGGCAAAGCUUUCAGUCAAAAAGCAGACCUUAUUUGUCACAGGAGAACUCACACUGGAGAGAAGCCCUACAAAUGUAAAAAUUGUAGCAAAGCUUUCAGUCAAAAAUCACACCUUAUUUGCCACAGUAGAACUCACACUGGAGAGAAACCCUACAAAUGUAAAGAAUGUGGCAAAGCCUUCAGUCAAAAAGUAGGACUUAUUUACCACAUCAGAUCUCACACUGGAGACAAGCCCUACAAAUGUAAAGAAUGUGGCAAAGCUUUCAUUCAAAAUUCAGACCUUAUUUGUCACAGCAGAACUCACACUGGAGACAAGCCCUACAAAUGCAAAAAUUGUAGUAAAGCUUUCUUUCGAAAAUCACACCUUAUUAGCCACGGCAAAACUCACACUGGAAUGAAGCCCUACAAAUGUAAAGAAUGUGGCAAAGCUUUUAGUCGAAAAUCACACCUUACUUGCCACAGCAGAACUCACACUGGAGAGAAGCCCUACAAAUGUAAAGAAUGUGGCAAAGCUUUCAGUCAAAAAUCACACCUUAUUUGCCACAGCAGAACUCACACUGGAGAGAAGCCCUACAAAUGUAAAGAAUGUGGCAAAGCUUUCAGUCAAAUAUCAAACCUUAUUUACCACAGAAGAACUCACACUGGAUAGAAGCCGUAUAAA